CUUAAUUUGUUGGUGUUCCAGUGUUAGCUGAUGCACUGUCUCUGCUAAAUCAUUUUGUUCUGCGCUGAGUUCGUCGGAGCGGGCCUCAAGGCGGUUGGUGCGCUCACCGAUAUCAUUGAUGUCUUUCCUCAGUUCGCUUGUGACUUUUUUGAAGUCAUGCUGGAGCGACACUCUGAAUUCUUGGAGCAUGGUAUAUAAUCUCUUUUCGGUUACGGGCGCAUCUGUGUAGUGGCCUGUAUCGCCC
Non-coding RNA from Pelobates cultripes (western spadefoot toad), 244 nucleotides. The record is from the annotation of a GenBank genome assembly. Lineage: Eukaryota; Metazoa; Chordata; Amphibia; Anura; Pelobatidae.